UUGCGCGCAGGUAGAAACACGAACCGGUAGGUAGUCCGGUUGCGUGAAGGCCCGUCGAUCGACGCGAUCUUCACGUCAGUAUCCGGCUCGUCGAGCCGUCCAUCCUCCGCGGGAGUAAU
This 119-nucleotide non-coding RNA is filed under the name Treponema sp. Its description in RNAcentral is "Azaaromatic sequence". It matches the Rfam family "azaaromatic riboswitch aptamer (yjdF RNA)". Lineage: Bacteria; Pseudomonadati; Spirochaetota; Spirochaetia; Treponematales; Treponemataceae. The record is from RNAcentral.